AUUAAUUUGAGAGUUUGAUCCUGGCUCAGGACGAACGCUGGCGGCGUGCCUAAUACAUGCAAGUCGAACGAACUCUGGUAUUGAUUGGUGCUUGCAUCAUGAUUUACAUUUGAGUGAGUGGCGAACUGGUGAGUAACACGUGGGAAACCUGCCCAGAAGCGGGGGAUAACACCUGGAAACAGAUGCUAAUACCGCAUAACAACUUGGACCGCAUGGUCCGAGUUUGAAAGAUGGCUUCGGCUAUCACUUUUGGAUGGUCCCGCGGCGUAUUAGCUAGAUGGUGGGGUAACGGCUCACCAUGGCAAUGAUACGUAGCCGACCUGAGAGGGUAAUCGGCCACAUUGGGACUGAGACACGGCCCAAACUCCUACGGGAGGCAGCAGUAGGGAAUCUUCCACAAUGGACGAAAGUCUGAUGGAGCAACGCCGCGUGAGUGAAGAAGGGUUUCGGCUCGUAAAACUCUGUUGUUAAAGAAGAACAUAUCUGAGAGUAACUGUUCAGGUAUUGACGGUAUUUAACCAGAAAGCCACGGCUAACUACGUGCCAGCAGCCGCGGUAAUACGUAGGUGGCAAGCGUUGUCCGGAUUUAUUGGGCGUAAAGCGAGCGCAGGCGGUUUUUUAAGUCUGAUGUGAAAGCCUUCGGCUCAACCGAAGAAGUGCAUCGGAAACUGGGAAACUUGAGUGCAGAAGAGGACAGUGGAACUCCAUGUGUAGCGGUGAAAUGCGUAGAUAUAUGGAAGAACACCAGUGGCGAAGGCGGCUGUCUGGUCUGUAACUGACGCUGAGGCUCGAAAGUAUGGGUAGCAAACAGGAUUAGAUACCCUGGUAGUCCAUACCGUAAACGAUGAAUGCUAAGUGUUGGAGGGUUUCCGCCCUUCAGUGCUGCAGCUAACGCAUUAAGCAUUCCGCCUGGGGAGUACGGCCGCAAGGCUGAAACUCAAAGGAAUUGACGGGGGCCCGCACAAGCGGUGGAGCAUGUGGUUUAAUUCGAAGCUACGCGAAGAACCUUACCAGGUCUUGACAUACUAUGCAAAUCUAAGAGAUUAGACGUUCCCUUCGGGGACAUGGAUACAGGUGGUGCAUGGUUGUCGUCAGCUCGUGUCGUGAGAUGUUGGGUUAAGUCCCGCAACGAGCGCAACCCUUAUUAUCAGUUGCCAGCAUUAAGUUGGGCACUCUGGUGAGACUGCCGGUGACAAACCGGAGGAAGGUGGGGAUGACGUCAAAUCAUCAUGCCCCUUAUGACCUGGGCUACACACGUGCUACAAUGGAUGGUACAACGAGUUGCGAACUCGCGAGAGUAAGCUAAUCUCUUAAAGCCAUUCUCAGUUCGGAUUGUAGGCUGCAACUCGCCUACAUGAAGUCGGAAUCGCUAGUAAUCGCGGAUCAGCAUGCCGCGGUGAAUACGUUCCCGGGCCUUGUACACACCGCCCGUCACACCAUGAGAGUUUGUAACACCCAAAGUCGGUGGGGUAACCUUUUAGGAACCAGCCGCCUAAGGUGGGACAGAUGAUUAGGGUGAAGUCGUAACAAGGUAGCCGUAGGAGAACCUGCGGCUGGAUCACCUCCUUUCUAAGGAA
Molecule: ribosomal RNA, 1577 nt
Filed under: Lactiplantibacillus plantarum IPLA88
Lineage: Bacteria; Bacillati; Bacillota; Bacilli; Lactobacillales; Lactobacillaceae
Description: Lactobacillus plantarum IPLA88 16S ribosomal RNA
Rfam family: Bacterial small subunit ribosomal RNA
Source: RNAcentral